This 1210-nucleotide long non-coding RNA is filed under the name Anas platyrhynchos platyrhynchos (common mallard). Its description in RNAcentral is "lncRNA (ENSAPLG00000027193.1)". The record is from RNAcentral. Lineage: Eukaryota; Metazoa; Chordata; Aves; Anseriformes; Anatidae.
GUUCCUGUAGCUGCUCCAGCUCCAGUUCCUGCAGCUGCUCCAGUUCCAGUUCCUGCAGCUGCUCCAACUCUGGUUCCUGCAGCUACUCCAGCUCCGGUUCCUGCAGCUGCUCCAGCUCCUGUGGCUGGGUCAGAGAAACGAGAAGUAGCAGUGCAAGUUGACCCUGUAGAGAAGGUGAAAAAAUGGUAUAGAGAUUCAGGUCGUUUAGAACACAGAGAGUCUUCUGCCAAAUCUAGGUAUAGAGACUACAAUGAUUCUGGGCCAUCAAGGAUUCAGGAGGAGGAAGAUGAGGAUGCCGAAAAAUCAACAGUAACUACCCAAAACCUAUACGAGUGUGAGCUACGAGAUGUGCAAAAAGAUUUUGGUUGUUGUAUAGGUGAGCAGCUUGUCACCUGGCUGCUCUGGUGCUGGGACACUGGAGCCAAUUGUGUGGAAUUAGACGGCAGGGAAGCCAGACGACUGGGAUCCCUUGCUCGAGACGCAGGCAUUGACAAAGCAAUUGCAGAUGGAGCACAAUCCACCAGCCUCUGGAGGCGUCUCCUCUCAGCUGUGAGGGAAAGGUAUCCCUUCAAGGAAGAACUUUUAUGUCUACCAGGCAAGUGGACCACUAUGGAGAAGGGAAUCCAGUACCUGAGGGAAUUAGCCGUACGGGAAGUGAUUUAUGAGGAUCCAGACCUCAGACAAACAUCCAAAGAUCCAGAUGAAGUCAGGUGUACACAACCCAUGUGGCGGAAGUUUGUACGGAGUGCACCAUCAUCAUAUGCCAGUUCAUUGGCAAUAAUGGCCUGGAAAGAGGAUGAGGAACCCACAGUGGAUGAAGUAGCUAAACAACUUCGGCAGUACGAAGAAAGUCUCUCCUCUUCCUUACAGGCCUGCGUCUCAGCUGUGGAGAAACUUUCUGAAGAGUUCCACCAACUUGAAGAGAGAUUAUUCUCCUCUGCACCUGUACAAAGCAGUGUCUCAACUAUCAGGGGUAGGCGUUCAUCCACACAAGGAAGAUGAUAUGGUGGGUACUCACCCCGUGUCACCCUGUGGUUUUACUUAUGAGAUCAUGGAGAGGACAUGAGAAAAUGGGAUGGAAAAUCUACCGCGACCCUAGAGGCACGGGUACGUGAGUUGCAAAAGAAAACAAUAGGGAAAAAGGGCUUCUCUUGAAAAGUUUGCUGCUCCAACUUCCAGCAGGCAGUCCUUCAAACACAGAAACAAAGAA